ACGGGAGGCAGCAGUGGGGAAUAUUGCACAAUGGGCGCAAGCCUGAUGCAGCGAUGCCGCGUGUGGGAUGAAGGCCCUAGGGUUGUAAACCGCUUUCAGUAGGGAAGAAAAUGACGGUACCUACAGAAGAAGGUGCGGCCAACUACGUGCCAGCAGCCGCGGUGACACGUAGGCACCAAGCGUUGUCCGGAUUUACUGGGCGUAAAGAGCUCGUAGGCGGUUCAGUUAGUCGGGUGUGAAAACUCUGGGCUCAACCCAGAGACGCCACCCGAUACUGCUGUGACUAGAGUACGGUAGGGGAGUGGGGAAUUCCUGGUGUAGCGGUGAAAUGCGCAGAUAUCAGGAGGAACACCAGUGGCGAAGGCGCCGCUCUGGGCCGUAACUGACGCUGAGGAGCGAAAGCAUGGGUAGCAAACAGGAUUAGAUACCCUGGUAGUCCAUGCCGUAAACGUUGGGCACUAGGUGUGGGUCUCAACCAACGAGAUCCGCGCCGUCGCUAACGCAUUAAGUGCCCCGCCUGGGGAGUACGGUCGCAAGACUAAAACUCAAAGGAAUU
RNAcentral lists this ribosomal RNA (556 nucleotides) under uncultured Pseudomonadota bacterium. RNAcentral's name for it is "bacterial SSU rRNA". It matches the Rfam family "Bacterial small subunit ribosomal RNA", at positions 341 to 911 of the family's 1533-position model. The record is from RNAcentral. Lineage: Bacteria; Pseudomonadati; Pseudomonadota.